ACCAAAGUCACCAUUAUCAGCAAAAGGAUCGGCUUCUCCAGAUGGGAAAUCGUUCAAGACUCCAUUGUCGAAUUUCCUACAAGAUUCCAAGCUCCAAGACUUGAACUUCCCACCAAUCAACCUGUUUGAUGAAAUGACAACAACUUCCCUCGAUUUAAAGCUCCAGUCUUGUUCAACCCCAAGCCCUUACCAAAGUGUUUGUACCCUCGACAAGGUUAAACACGCCCUGGAAAGAGCAGAAAAAGGAGGAAACAUGAAGAAGCGUUCAUCGUCACCACCACCGCCACCGUCAUCGCCGCCUGCAACGUCGUCUUCAUCAACACCAAGAAUGUUUGCAGC
RNAcentral lists this long non-coding RNA (339 nucleotides) under Gossypium barbadense (sea-island cotton). RNAcentral describes it as "long non-coding RNA (GBAR_LNC019670)". The record is from RNAcentral. Lineage: Eukaryota; Viridiplantae; Streptophyta; Magnoliopsida; Malvales; Malvaceae.